Molecule: ribosomal RNA, 406 nt
Filed under: uncultured bacterium
Lineage: Bacteria
Description: partial 16S ribosomal RNA
Rfam family: Bacterial small subunit ribosomal RNA
Source: RNAcentral
AUUGAACGCUGGCGGCAGGCCUAACACAUGCAAGUCGAACGAGUGGCGGACGGGUGAGUAAUGUCUGGGAAACUGCCUGAUGGAGGGGGAUAACUACUGGAAACGGUAGCUAAUACCGCAUACCAUCGGAUGUGCCCAAAUGGGAUUAGCUAGUAGGUGGGGUAACGGCUCCCCUAGGCGACGAUCCCUAGCUGGUCUGCGAGGAUGACCAGCCACACUGGACCUGAGACACGAUCCAGACUCCUACGGUAGGCAGCCGUGGGGAAUAUUGCACAAUGGGCGCAAGCCUGAUGCAACCAUGCCACGUGUAUGAAGAAGGCCUUCGGGUUGUAAAGUACUUUCAGCGGGGAGGCGUUACCCGCAGAAGGAGCACCGGCUAACACCGUGCCAGCAGCCGCGGUAAUUC